Molecule: ribosomal RNA, 135 nt
Filed under: uncultured bacterium
Lineage: Bacteria
Description: partial 16S ribosomal RNA
Rfam family: Bacterial small subunit ribosomal RNA
Source: RNAcentral
UGGGGAAUCUUGCGCAAUGGGCGAAAGCCUGACGCAGCAACGCCGCGUGCGGGAUGAAGGCCUUCGGGUUGUAAACCGCUUUUACCAGGAACGAAAAUGACGGUACCUGGAGAAUAAGGUGCGGCCAACUACGUG